Molecule: long non-coding RNA, 526 nt
Organism: Fopius arisanus
Lineage: Eukaryota; Metazoa; Arthropoda; Insecta; Hymenoptera; Braconidae
Exons: 3
Source: RefSeq, a predicted model, not a curated record
AUGCACGGCGGAAUGGGUUUGCAAGAUAUAGUAUGUCUGCCCCAUAUUUCAAAAUAUAUGAUGUGAAUCCUAGAAAUAAUCAGCCAGUUCCACAUUUGAAUUAUGAGUGUUUCGGAGGCGGAGUUGAUUGCCAACGUUGUGGAUUAAAAGUGUAUCAAGCAGAAAUGCAUAUUGCAUCCGGCGUCCCAUAUCAUAAUAUUUGUUUCAGCUGUUAUUGUUGCCGAAAAUCUCUCGAAACGUUAACUUAUCAUGAAAGUUGUGGUGAAAUAUAUUGCAAACAAUGCUACAUACGCAAUUUUGGACCGCAAGGGUACGGCUACUCCGGUGUACUUCAAACACCAAUGUGAAGUUUGUUUCCGCUACUGAAAUAUUUUAUACGGUAUGACUCAAUCACAGAAUUUUGUGGUGCCUCUGCUGAAAUAAGACGGAAUUUUUGGAAUAGUUGGAGGACACUGCAUAGAAUUUUCAACUAUAUCCGAAAUACAAUCAAAAUUUUCAAUAAAUUACGAAAAAUAUAUUUGUUUAA